RNAcentral lists this long non-coding RNA (1660 nucleotides) under Homo sapiens (human). RNAcentral describes it as "HSALNT0048134". Lineage: Eukaryota; Metazoa; Chordata; Mammalia; Primates; Hominidae. The record is from RNAcentral.
UCUGACUUCCAGCCUCCCACUGGGUCAUUGUUAGAAUCAGGUUGGCCUGAGGUAGGGCCCUAGCAAGGUGGUAACUCAAUGCUAUGGCUCAUUUGAUCCCUAUUUUGGGUUGUAAUCCAUUUUAAGGGGGAAAGGCCAAUCUUUUAUACUAAUUAGGCAGCGACAGUUCCUAACUGAGAUGUUUCUUGUGAAACAGCUAAUGGAGUUGUAUAUCAGUGAACAGUAACAGGUUUAGUAGAUCCCAGUGCUGCUGAGGAUACUCUCUGUGUACAUCAUGCUGGAAAAAAUUUCAGAUGUAAUUUCCAGCAAGCACCUUCACCCCAUUUUAUCAAAUAGCAAUGCAAGUCCCAGAGAGAUUAACUGACAUUGAGCUCAUGGCAGAAUCAGGUAUUUUGACUCCAAGUUCAGGGUUCCGUUCACUAUAACCACCACUUACAGACUUCUCCAGCAAUAAUGAGGUGAGCAAAACAAGGUGGCUUUCUCUGCUCUUUGAGAUUUCUGAAAUCAGUGUUCUUCAUUCUCUGUAGAUGUAAAUGCAUCCUGCUAAACUUAAAGUGACAGCAAAUACUUUUCUGGAAGAGCUUUUUAUGGAAGAAGGAGGUUAUAUAUCCUCUGUUACUUCAUAAAUGAUCACAGUGAUUACCCUAUGAUGCAGGAUGAGGAUGAUGGAUUUACAGGGAUUUCCAAAUGUCUGUUAAUGCCCUUCACCCACUUUGCUGAGAUCAGUCAUCUGAACAAAUGGUUUGAAGAUUUUGUGUGAAGAUGCUAUAAAAAGAGUCAUUGGUUUCCCUUGUUCAUAGUAGUUAUUAUGUAUAUGGGUAGAGAGGAGGCUACAAUUUGAGAAUUAAUGUCAUUGAAAAUGAGGGCAAUAUUUGAGAGCCUUGAAUUCUCUGAAGAGUUCAAAUAAAGAUGUCUAUUUUGAAGAGUAUCUUUAUUUUCUUGUUGAAUAAAGAUCUUAAACUUUUUGUUUUUUCAAAGUACAUAUUUCUGUGGCUUUUCAUAUUUCCACAUGCUAUGCAAGUUAUUAAAACCCCAAAUUUUCUGUAUCUGAUUGCAACGGGGCUGCUAAAAAGGAAUGGAUAACAAUAAAAGCAAAAUGGAGAGUGCUUAGAGAGCAUAACAGAGUCAUCAUGGAAAACAGUGGUAAUUUUUAACCUUGCUUUUCCAAGCUAGAGUUUUUGAGAGGACAGCGAGUGCAUAGGCUGCUAUCAUCUUCUCUAAAACAGAAAUGUGAGUAGACAUUUGGCUGAAAACCACAUUUUUCAUUGUUAAUGGAAAUAACAUUUAAAAUGUAUAAGACGUAUAUGUAUAUAUUUAAUAAUCAUCUAUUGAGAGAUUUCUAUAUAUUAGAGACUGUAAUAGUUGAAGUGAUAAUUUUGGACAGUCAACCCUGAUCACAAUAUAUGGAUGUGUGUGUGCAAAGGAUCACACAAACUGUAGUACAAUGUGAUAACAUAUAAAUGCUAGACAAUUAUUAUAAACCAUGCACUACAGGGAAAAUGAAAAGAGAUGAAUUAAUUAUAUUAUGGAGGAAGAAGAGGAAGAAGGGAGGAAAAUGAAGAAGGCCUUACAAAGGAGGUGAGCACAUGAACUUUGAAUCAUGAGUAAGAUUUAAGAUUUUUUUUUUUUUUUUGAGAUGGAGUCUCACUCUGUUACCCAG